CUACGGGUCGCUCCAGUUAGGAAUAAUCUGCAAUGCGCGAAAGCGUGACAGUUUGAGCCAGAGUGCUUUCUUAUAGAAAGCUUUUGCUAAAUGUAAAAAGUUUGGCGAAUAAGGACUGGGUAAGACUAGUGCCAGCCGCCGCGGUAAUACUAGCGGUCCAAGUCGCAGCCAUCUUUAUUAGGUCUAAAACAUCCGUAGCUUGCUCAAUAAGUUUUUUGUGAAAUUUUAUGUCUUAAACAUAAAGCGAGCAAAAAGUACUGUUGAGCUAGAGACUGGGAGACGUAAAGAGUAUGUUUGAGGUAGCGGUAAAAUGUUUUAAUCUUAGACAGACUAACAAUAGCGAAGGCACUUUACGAGAACAGAUCUGACAGUAAGGGAUGAAGGCUAGGGGCGCAAAACGGAUUAGAUACCCGCGUAGUC
RNAcentral lists this ribosomal RNA (420 nucleotides) under uncultured archaeon. Its description in RNAcentral is "partial 16S ribosomal RNA". It matches the Rfam family "Archaeal small subunit ribosomal RNA", at positions 323 to 746 of the family's 1478-position model. The record is from RNAcentral.